Molecule: small RNA, 98 nt
Filed under: Sinorhizobium meliloti 2011
Lineage: Bacteria; Pseudomonadati; Pseudomonadota; Alphaproteobacteria; Hyphomicrobiales; Rhizobiaceae
Description: putative ncRNA
Source: RNAcentral
AGCGGCGGUAAGGCACGCGUGCGAGAGAUCCGGAGCCGGCUGCCGACGGAUUUUUGGUUGCAUGUCUUGCCGUGGAUCAUUCGCGAUUGUAUGAGCGA